This is a long non-coding RNA of Osmerus eperlanus (European smelt), 478 nucleotides long. RefSeq lists it as uncharacterized. The transcript has 3 exons. NCBI's taxonomy places the organism in Eukaryota, Metazoa, Chordata, Actinopteri, Osmeriformes, Osmeridae. The record is from RefSeq and is a predicted model, not a curated record.
GAAGCCAACCUCCUGGUUACAGCACAACAGCCUGGGAAACAGAAUAUGAAUAAACCUGGUUGGGAGAUAACAGAGGGUGUGUGAGGUCAAGUAGUCUUGUGUUCGCGUGGCAACCUCAUAGGUUUACGUUCGUUUAUAUCGAAUUUCAUUGAGUGAUUUGUUAUCAGUGAUGCCUUCCUUAUCAGGGGGAAACAGGACAGGACAGCCGUCAAGGUUGGAUUAAGAGAUUAAGAGACAUUUCACACUGUGACAAGACCACUUCCUGGUCUCCCAGUUAACCGCAGCAUCCCACAAUGCAGUGCGGGAGGUCAGGGAACAACCCUGACCAGAGUUGGGGUUACCCUGGCCGAACCCCAAACUGCCUGACCCCUGCGUUCCUGAGUUUCCGUCCCAAAUCUCUGUUUAGAGUUGAUCGUGACCUUUGACCCUGUUGAAAGUCGUUUCCAAAUUGCGGUUUGGGUGUGUCAGCAAUGAAUAA